GGUUAAGCGACUAAGCGUACACGGUGGAUGCCCUGGCAGUCAGAGGCGAUGAAGGACGUGCUAAUCUGCGAUAAGCGUCGGUAAGGUGAUAUGAACCGUUAUAACCGGCGAUUUCCGAAUGGGGAAACCCAGUGUGUUUCGACACACUAUCAUUAACUGAAUCCAUAGGUUAAUGAGGCGAACCGGGGGAACUGAAACAUCUAAGUACCCCGAGGAAAAGAAAUCAACCGAGAUUCCCCCAGUAGCGGCGAGCGAACGGGGAGCAGCCCAGAGCCUGAAUCAGUGUGUGUGUUAGUGGAAGCGUCUGGAAAGGCGCGCGAUACAGGGUGACAGCCCCGUACACAAAAACAUGCACAUGCUGUGAGCUCGAUGAGUAGGGCGGGACACGUGGUAUCCUGUCUGAAUAUGGGGGGACCAUCCUCCAAGGCUAAAUACUCCUGACUGACCGAUAGUGAACCAGUACCGUGAGGGAAAGGCGAAAAGAACCCCGGCGAGGGGAGUGAAAAAGAACCUGAAACCGUGUACGUACAAGCAGUGGGAGCACGCUUAGGCGUGUGACUGCGUACCUUUGUAUAAUGGGUCAGCGACUUAUAUUCUGUAGCAAGGUUAACCGAAUAGGGGAGCCGAAGGGAAACCGAGUCUUAACUGGGCGUUAAGUUGCAGGGUAUAGACCCGAAACCCGGUGAUCUAGCCAUGGGCAGGUUGAAGGUUGGGUAACACUAACUGGAGGACCGAACCGACUAAUGUUGAAAAAUUAGCGGAUGACUUGUGGCUGGGGGUGAAAGGCCAAUCAAACCGGGAGAUAGCUGGUUCUCCCCGAAAGCUAUUUAGGUAGCGCCUCGUGAAUUCAUCUCCGGGGGUAGAGCACUGUUUCGGCAAGGGGUCAUCCCGACUUACCAACCCGAUGCAAACUGCGAAUACCGGAGAAUGUUAUCACGGGAGACACACGGCGGUGCUAACGUCCGUCGUGAAGAGGGAAACAACCCAGACCGCCAGCUAAGGUCCCAAAGUCAUGGUUAAGUGGGAAACGAUGUGGGAAGGCCCAGACAGCCAGGAUGUUGGCUUAGAAGCAGCCAUCAUUUAAAGAAAGCGUAAUAGCUCACUGGUCGAGUCGGCCUGCGCGGAAGAUGUAACGGGGCUAAACCAUGCACCGAAGCUGCGGCAGCGACGCUGAUGCGUUGUUGGGUAGGGGAGCGUUCUGUAAGCCUGCGAAGGUGUGCUGUGAGGCAUGCUGGAGGUAUCAGAAGUGCGAAUGCUGACAUAAGUAACGAUAAAGCGGGUGAAAAGCCCGCUCGCCGGAAGACCAAGGGUUCCUGUCCAACGUUAAUCGGGGCAGGGUGAGUCGACCCUAAGGCGAGGCCGAAAGGCGUCGUCGAUGGGAAACUGGUUAUUAUUCCUGUACUUGGUGUUACUGCGAAGGGGGACGGAGAAGGCUAUGUUGGCCGGGCGACGGUUGUCCCGGUUUAAGCGUGUAGGCUGGUUUUCCAGGCAAAUCCGGAAAAUCAAGGCUGAGGCGUGAUGACGAGGCACUACGGUGCUGAAGCAACAAAUGCCCUGCUUCCAGGAAAAGCCUCUAAGCAUCAGGUAACAUCAAAUCGUACCCCAAACCGACACAGGUGGUCAGGUAGAGAAUACCAAGGCGCUUGAGAGAACUCGGGUGAAGGAACUAGGCAAAAUGGUGCCGUAACUUCGGGAGAAGGCACGCUGAUAUGUAGGUGAGGUCCCUCGCGGAUGGAGCUGAAAUCAGUCGAAGAUACCAGCUGGCUGCAACUGUUUAUUAAAAACACAGCACUGUGCAAACACGAAAGUGGACGUAUACGGUGUGACGCCUGCCCGGUGCCGGAAGGUUAAUUGAUGGGGUUAGCGCAAGCGAAGCUCUUGAUCGAAGCCCCGGUAAACGGCGGCCGUAACUAUAACGGUCCUAAGGUAGCGAAAUUCCUUGUCGGGUAAGUUCCGACCUGCACGAAUGGCGUAAUGAUGGCCGGCUGUCUCCACCCGAGACUCAGUGAAAUUGAACUCGCUGUGAAGAUGCAGUGUACCCGCGGCAAGACGGAAAGACCCCGUGAACCUUUACUAUAGCUUGACACUGAACAUUGAGCCUUGAUGUGUAGGAUAGGUGGGAGGCUUGGAAGUGUGGACGCCAGUCUGCAUGGAGCCGACCUUGAAAUACCACCCUUUAAUGUUUGAUGUUCUAACGUUGACCCGUAAUCCGGGUUGCGGACAGUGUCUGGUGGGUAGUUUGACUGGGGCGGUCUCCUCCUAAAGAGUAACGGAGGAGCACGAAGGUUGGCUAAUCCUGGUCGGACAUCAGGAGGUUAGUGCAAUGGCAUAAGCCAGCUUGACUGCGAGCGUGACGGCGCGAGCAGGUGCGAAAGCAGGUCAUAGUGAUCCGGUGGUUCUGAAUGGAAGGGCCAUCGCUCAACGGAUAAAAGGUACUCCGGGGAUAACAGGCUGAUACCGCCCAAGAGUUCAUAUCGACGGCGGUGUUUGGCACCUCGAUGUCGGCUCAUCACAUCCUGGGGCUGAAGUAGGUCCCAAGGGUAUGGCUGUUCGCCAUUUAAAGUGGUACGCGAGCUGGGUUUAGAACGUCGUGAGACAGUUCGGUCCCUAUCUGCCGUGGGCGCUGGAGAACUGAGGGGGGCUGCUCCUAGUACGAGAGGACCGGAGUGGACGCAUCACUGGUGUUCGGGUUGUCAUGCCAAUGGCACUGCCCGGUAGCUAAAUGCGGAAGAGAUAAGUGCUGAAAGCAUCUAAGCACGAAACUUGCCCCGAGAUGAGUUCUCCCUGACCCUUUAAGGGUCCUGAAGGAACGUUGAAGACGACGACGUUGAUAGGCCGGGUGUGUAAGCGCAGCGAUGCGUUGAGCUAACCGGUACUAAUGAACCGUGAGGCUUAACCUU
RNAcentral lists this ribosomal RNA (2900 nucleotides) under Escherichia coli. RNAcentral describes it as "23S ribosomal RNA". It matches the Rfam family "Bacterial large subunit ribosomal RNA". Lineage: Bacteria; Pseudomonadati; Pseudomonadota; Gammaproteobacteria; Enterobacterales; Enterobacteriaceae. The record is from RNAcentral.